RNAcentral lists this ribosomal RNA (422 nucleotides) under uncultured bacterium. Its description in RNAcentral is "bacterial SSU rRNA". It matches the Rfam family "Bacterial small subunit ribosomal RNA", at positions 355 to 774 of the family's 1533-position model. The record is from RNAcentral.
UAAGGAAUAUUGGUCAAUGGAGGCAACUCUGAACCAGCCGUGCCGCGUGAAGGAUUAAGGCCCUCUGGGUUGUAAACUUCUUUUAUAUGGGAAGAAAUGUACUUUUUCUAAAGUGCUUGACGGUACCAUAGGAAUAAGCACCGGCUAACUCCGUGCCAGCAGCCGCGGUAAUACGGAGGGUGCAAGCGUUAUCCGGAUUUACUGGGUUUAAAGGGUGCGUAGGCGGAUGAAUAAGUCAGUGGUGAAAUCUCCGAGCUUAACUCGGAAACUGCCGUUGAUACUAUUUGUCUUGAAUAUUGUGGAGGUAAGCGGAAUAUGUCAUGUAGCGGUGAAAUGCUUAGAUAUGACAUAGAACACCAAUUGCGAAGGCAGCUUGCUACACAAUCAUUGACGCUGAGGCACGAAAGCGUGGGGAUCAAACA